RNAcentral lists this transfer RNA (89 nucleotides) under Candidatus Zhuqueibacterota bacterium. RNAcentral's name for it is "candidate division KSB1 bacterium tRNA-Ser". It matches the Rfam family "tRNA". Rfam says of the family: Transfer RNA (tRNA) molecules are approximately 80 nucleotides in length. Their secondary structure includes four short double-helical elements and three loops (D, anti-codon, and T loops). Further hydrogen bonds mediate the characteristic L-shaped molecular structure. tRNAs have two regions of fundamental functional importance: the anti-codon, which is responsible for specific mRNA codon recognition, and the 3' end, to which the tRNAs corresponding amino acid is attached (by aminoacyl-tRNA synthetases). tRNAs cope with the degeneracy of the genetic code in two manners: having more than one tRNA (with a specific anti-codon) for a particular amino acid; and 'wobble' base-pairing, i.e. permitting non-standard base-pairing at the 3rd anti-codon position. Lineage: Bacteria; Pseudomonadati. The record is from RNAcentral.
GGAGAGGUGCCUGAGUGGCUGAAAGGAGCCGCCUGCUAAGCGGUUGAGGGACUAAAAUCCCUCCGAGGGUUCGAAUCCCUCCCUCUCCG